Oryza brachyantha (malo sina) is the source of this 1473-nucleotide RNA transcript. RefSeq lists it as uncharacterized. The transcript is spliced from 4 exons. The record is from RefSeq and is a predicted model, not a curated record. Lineage: Eukaryota; Viridiplantae; Streptophyta; Magnoliopsida; Poales; Poaceae.
AUCCUGUGGCCAUGGCCGCGCCACUCCACUCCACCACCUCCUCCUCAAACCCUAGCCCCACUCGCCUCCUCCUCCGCCUCGCCCGCUCCCAUCCAUCAUUCCCCAUGGCGUCCAUCACCACCACCGCCGCCUCCUCCUCCUCUUUCCUCCACCGCCGCCGCCGCGCCGGCGCCGCCUCGCCCCCGCAAGGCGGCGGCACCAUCCUGCGGCUGAACCACCACCACCAGCAGCAGCACUACUACCAAAGAUUCGCAUGCCGCGCGGCGGAGGUUUCAGGGGCGGAGCCGUCGGCCGCGGCGGCGGCGGAGGCGAGCGGCGGGGGAGAGGGGAACUGGGUGCCGGUGGUGCCGCUGGCGGCGCUGCCGCGUGGGGAGCGGCGGGUGAUCGUGCAGGACGGGGAGGAGAUCCUGCUGCUGUGGUACAAGGAGCAGGUGUACGCCGUGGAGAACCGCUCCCCGGCCGAGGGCGCCUACACCGAGGGCCUCCUCAACGCCAAGCUCACCCAGGAUGGCUGUAUCGUUUGCCCAACAACAGACAGCACAUAUGAUCUUCGUACUGGCGAAAUAAAAGAAUGGUAUCCAAAAAACCCUGUUUUAAGGGCUCUUACCCCUGCAUUGAGAAAACUAUUCGUGUACCCGGUGAAGACCGAUGGAGAGAAUAUAUACAUCAGCAUUAGGGGAGCUGAUAGCUCUGGUGGAUCUGCAGAGAUCAUAUUCAGUGGGAAAGCUCAACCUGGGUUUACUGCAUCUGAUGUCAAUAUUGAAGAGGUGAGAAUGGUAAUCGAUGAGGAUGUUGGAGGUUUUGGUUUCACCAGUGCGAAUGAACUCAUAAAUGGAAAAGCCGCUAUAAUUGGCUUUCUCUUGUUAAUAGACUUUGAACUCUUAACUGGGAAAGGCCUUCUCAAGGGAACUGGUUUAUUGGACUUCAUAUAUGCAAUUUCAAGAGCUUUCAGCUCAUAAGGAUGCUUGUUCUUUGGUGUGGAAUAUUGUCCAUGUACAUCAUUACUCAUAUUGGAAAAGCUAAAUGGAUGAAGCGAAUGAGGAAAGCAGAUGAUAAUAUAGAACAUGCCAUGGGAAUCAACAAAGCGGAUUUAAUAUAGUAUGUAGAAAAACUUCAAUGUAGUUCUCAUAUGUAGUCUGAGUUUGUACUUGUACCUGCACUCAAGCUGAAAAUAGAGUGAUUUCUAAGAACUUGGAGAGAAAUCUUUGUGAACAAUCAGAAAGGUACUUAAGGUACUUUCUUUUGACGAAAACACAUUGUUCCUUUUUCAUCAAAGAAAAUGGUGAAAUUGUACUGAUGAUAGGUGGAACUUAAUCAUUGCAAAUAGCAAACUUCCUAGAGAACUGCACUGAAGUUUUUUCUGCACCUUAUUUGAGUUAGAAAAGAAUCAAUACUAUGAGCUUGUUUUGCUGCAAUGCUCAUGUGGGCUAAUGACUAACAUGAGUGAGACCAUGUAACCUCUGAAACCUGAAG